This 391-nucleotide ribosomal RNA is filed under the name Gemmatimonadota bacterium. Its description in RNAcentral is "bacterial SSU rRNA". It matches the Rfam family "Bacterial small subunit ribosomal RNA", at positions 1 to 387 of the family's 1533-position model. The record is from RNAcentral. Lineage: Bacteria; Pseudomonadati; Gemmatimonadota.
AUUGGAGAGUUUGAUCCUGGCUCAGGACGAACGCUGGCGGCGUGCCUAACACAUGCAAGUCGUACGGGACCGGGGGGCAACUCUCGGUUCAGUGGCAGACGGGUGCGUAACACGUGAGAAACCUGACUAUCGGCGGGGGAUAGCCGGCCCAACGGCCGGGUAAUACCGCGUACGAUCCCGGCGGGGCAUCCCGCUGGGAUGAGAGCAGCCGCAAGGUUGCGCCGGUGGGGGGUCUCGCGGCCUAUCAGCUAGUUGGCGGGGUAACGGCCCACCAAGGCGACGACGGGUAGCUGGUCUGAGAGGAUGGCCAGCCACAUUGGGACUGAGACACGGCCCAGACUCCUACGGGAGGCAGCAGUGGGGAAUAUUGCGCAAUGGCCGCAAGGCUGAC